UAGAUCCGUACACAGUAGGUGGUGCCCUCGUGGACCUCCCUUCCUUACUAGUAUCGCUGGCUCGGCUCAGCUCUCUGCCCCUUCCCCACUCCCAUUUCCUUAUUUGACGAGUUUGGCGGCCACGGCCCCUAGACUCGGGCUUUCGCCUCUGUCCUGGCUGCCGGUGGGUCUAGGGUAGGGGGCUUCCGACUUUUCGCCCCUUCUGCAGCCUGGCUCCCGUGGGAUCCGGUCCCUUUUCAAGGAAAGUUGUGAUCCACGUGAGUCAACUGGCUGGUCUUCUUUGUGCAUUUUCCUCAGGUUCGCGGACUGGAAUAUAACAGGCACCAGAGGAUUCCUUCUCGGUCCCCUCGUCCUGGAACUUGCGACCAAGGUUGGAUGUCCCCAUAUCCUUGUUUAAUGGAGAGAACUCAACUAAGCUUCGUUGCUGCUAGCCCCAAAAGCAUUUGAUUUCUCUGUGAGAAGCUGAAAAUCAUCUUUUAGAAAGUUGAGCUUCGAUCUCCGCCCCCUACCCUCAAAUCCCUUAAUUAUGCUGUAGAAGUUGGGGCUUUUUGAACAUCUCUCUCACAAUCUGGUGCUGAUUUAACUGCAUAAUGGCUUUCUAUUUCACUGGUAUUCGAAGCUUUCCUAAACUUUGGAAGAGCAACCCAUACCUUGGGCUAGGCCCAGGUCACUCUUUUCUCUCUCUCUUUCUCAAAGACUGUUAUGGCAUCAAGAACCAAGAGAAGUGGUUUUCUCUUAAAACGGUGUCUUCACAAAAUACCAAAGCAAUGAAUCUGCUGGUUGCCAAAGCCAGAUAUGUCAGGAAAAAAGAUGAGGGCAGUAGUAAGCAAGUUUCUGCUGAUUCUCCUCACAUGUUUGCAGCUGGAGCGGCUAAGAAGAGAUCACAGAUGAAUCCUCCGAGUAAAGAGCACGUCUUGCCACCUGUGAAGAACAUUUUUCAACUCCCGACAAAACCUUUGAAUUCAGAGGAGUGGGAUAAACUGAAGGAAUAUUUCAAAGAAAAGGCUAACUUUGAAAAUUGGAUCAUUUCACAGAUGAUUAAAUGCCGUAGCUCUGUCGAUGUGGCCAAAUCUGUGCUGGCCUGGGUAGCUGCAAAAAACAAUGGUAUUGUAGGCUAUGAUUUGCUGGUCAAGUAUUUGUAUCUCUGCGUUUUUCAUAAGCAGACAUCAGAAAUUAUUGAUGUCUAUGAAAUCAUGAAAGACAGAUACAAGCGUUUAGAAUCUGGAGCGUACACUCUUCUCAUCCGGGGAUUAAUCCAUACAGACAGAUGGAGAGAGGCUUUGCUGCUGUUAGAAGACAUCAAAAAAGUCAUGAUUCCUUCAAAAAAGAACUAUGAUGACUGUAUCCAGGGAGCCCUCUUUCAUCAAGAUGUAAAUGUAGCUUGGAAUUUGUAUCAGGAGUUGUUAGGUCAUGAUAUUGUUCCUAUGUUGGAAACAUUAAAAGCCUUCUUUGAUUUUGGAAAAGACAUGAAAGGUGAUCAGUAUUCAAACAAACUGCAAGACAUUCUUUUGUAUCUAAGAAAUAAUCAGCUGUAUCCUGGGGAGUCAUUUGCACACAGUAUAAAAACAUGGUUUGAAAGUGUUCCUGGAGAACAUUGGAAAGGACAGUUCACCACAGUCCAGCAAAGUGGUCAGUGUUUGGGCUGUGGAAAAACUAUAGAGUCUAUUCACCUGAGUUCAGAAGAGUAUGAAUUUCUCAAGGAAAAAAUAAUGAGGGAUGUGAUAGAUGGAGGUGACCAGUACAGAAAGACGACACCUCAGGAACUUAAGAGAUUUCAGGACUUUGUAAAAUACCAUCCUCCUUUUGAUAUUGUCAUUGAUGGGCUCAAUGUUGCCAAAAUGUUUCCUAAAGCUCGUGAAUCUCAAGUUCUCUUAGAUGUGGUCUCUCAACUAGCCAAGCAGAAUCUUCAAGUGCUGGUCCUGGGCCGGAAGCAUAUGUUAAAGCAGAAUUCCCGGUGGAGGAAGGAUGAUAUGGAAAAGGUGCAAAAGCAAGCCAGCUUUUUUUUUGCUGACAACAUGUAGGUAUUGAAGUUAUUAAGUGAGUUACACUAGGCUCCAGUCAUCUACUUGUUACCUAUUUUUUGCCAUUUUUAAAAGUGCAUGUGUGUGUACGUAUGUAUGUAUGUAUAUAUAUAUUCAGCCUCAUUCCAAAAAAAAAAAUUUAAGACAGCUUACAAAAAUACAGUUUUUACAGCAGGAUAAACUUAGAUAGAUGAGGAAAUCAGGUUAAAGGAGAAAUAAGUUAAAGCCCAAAAUGAGAUUAGUACACAGAAUGCAUGCCAUAAAUUCCUAAAUAGAUCAUUUAACAAAUAUUUUACAAAUACGAGCACCUUCUGUGUUCUUGGAGAAACAGCAGUGAACAAGACCAAGUCCCUGCCCUCUUGUGACUUAACAGUAAACAAAUAAACAGGUAAUGUAAUUCCAGGCAGUGAUUAAAGCUGUGAAGACCAUGAAGCAGAGUAAGGAGCUGGAAGGGGACUAGGUCGGGGAUAGGUCAGAGGGGAGUGGAAAAAGCCUUUGGGAGGGGGCAGAUCUGAAGGGAACGAGUGAGUCAUUUGAGAAAGGGGGAAGGGUGGUGGGAAGAAGCUACCAGGCAGAGGGAACAGCAAGUGUUGAAAAGGGCCUGAGGCAGGAAUGAGGAAGGCUGGCAGGCCAGUGUGGAUGGGCUGGGGGCAGCAAGAGGGAAGGUAGUCAGUUCUGAGGUCCGAGAAAAGGCAGGGACCACAUUGCAGAGUUCCUCGUGGGCUGUGGAUUUUAUUCUCAAUGUAAAGGGAAUGUUGCUAUGAGCUACAGCUUCCCAGGAAGCCAAAGGAACAUGGAAAACAUGGUCAGCGACAAAAUAUACAGUGUCCACAGAGUAUGAAAAAGCAGCUGAUCGGAAGGAGCACAGAUCCACAACAGCACGUAUUAACUUUCAGCAUGCGUUUAGGUUUUCACACUGUUCAUGCCGACAAAGGUUUACUUCCAACUUUGCACGGAUAAUGAGCGCACCUCAGCCCCACGUCUAGGUUUCAUUAGAUUGAAUGUUAUAACUUCAAGGUUUGUCAGUAUUCCCCAAAUCAUUUCUUCUUAAAAAGGUCAAAUGGGGGAAUUCCCUGGCAGUCCAUUGGGUAGGACUCGGCACUCACUGCCGUGGCCCAGGUUCAAUCCCUGGUCGGGGAACUAAGAAUCCUGCAGGCUGCACAGCGCGUUCCCCUCCUCCCCCGAAAAGAAAGGUCAAAUGGCAUUCAGUGCACAAAGCUGGAAGCUAACCCCUGCUUCAGAUCCCAAACCAAAUCCCAUUUUUCUUUAGCUAAGCCCUUUUAUUUAUUCAUGGGAGGGGGGUGCUUCCAUCUCUCCAGGACUAUAAGACAAUAAUAAUGCUCUUCAUGCAGUCACCUUAGGCAAUACUGGGUAAACCUUAAGAGCGCAGGCUUGGGAAUGAACCCACCCAGGUUUAAAUCAUGGCCCUGCCGCUUCCUGUCUGGGAAGGCGUUUCCCUUCUCUCUGUUUUCUUUUCUUCAUAUGCAACCCUCAUGAGGAUUAAAUGAGAAGAUAACUUGCAAAUCAUACAGCACCAAGUACAUGGCAGCUCAGAGGACGAUCCAUUCCUUCUGUAUGCCACACUGCACUCGGGGGACCACUGCAAGUUUAUCACAAAAGAUCUGAUGCGGGACCACAAGGCCUGUCUGCCUGAUGCCAAGACCCAACGCCUGUUCUUUAAGUGGCA
Orcinus orca (killer whale) is the source of this 3708-nucleotide RNA transcript. It is a transcript of the gene named protein only RNase P catalytic subunit, with no coding region annotated. NCBI's taxonomy places the organism in Eukaryota, Metazoa, Chordata, Mammalia, Artiodactyla, Delphinidae. The transcript has 6 exons. The record is from RefSeq and is a predicted model, not a curated record.